Molecule: transfer RNA, 63 nt
Filed under: Hospesneotomae nitida
Lineage: Eukaryota; Metazoa; Arthropoda; Insecta; Hemiptera; Reduviidae
Description: Triatoma nitida tRNA-Gly
Source: RNAcentral
AUUUCUUUAGUAUAAAAAGUAUAUUUAACUUCCAAUUAAAAGGUUUAACUAUUAAAAGAAAUA